Molecule: unclassified non-coding RNA, 343 nt
Filed under: Hevea brasiliensis (rubber tree)
Lineage: Eukaryota; Viridiplantae; Streptophyta; Magnoliopsida; Malpighiales; Euphorbiaceae
Source: RNAcentral
CUUAGUUGAGUUGAGUUGAGUAUGAUUCCUUGUCUCCCUCCUAUAGAGCCUUUGUAUUGUCUGUUGCUGUUAUUUCUAUUCCGCGGGAUUGGAAAGAAGCUUACCUUGAUCCAAAAUGGAAGACAGCUAUGGUUGAGGAGAUGAAGGCUUUGACAAAAAAUGGAACAUGGGAUCUUGUUACUACUCCAUUAGGAAAGAAACCAGUAGGAUGUAAGUGGGUGUUCACAGUAAAAUACAAGGCUGAUGGAUCCAUUGAAAGAUAUAAAGCUAGGCUAGGAGCAAAGGGCUAUACACAGACCUACGGGGUUGAUUAUGAGAAAGACAUUUGCACCUGUUGCAAAGA